UACAGAGGUGGCAAGCGUUGUUCGGAAUUACUGGGCGUAAAGGGCGCGUAGGCGGUUCGUUAAGUCCUGUGUGAAAUCCCUCGGCUCAACCGGGGAACUGCGUCCGAUACUGGCGGGCUUGAAUUCGGGAGAGGGAUGUGGAAUUCCAGGUGUAGCGGUGAAAUGCGUAGAUAUCUGGAGGAACACCGGUGGCGAAGGCGGCAUCCUGGACCGACAUUGACGCUGAGGCGCGAAAGCCAGGGGAGCAAACAGG
RNAcentral lists this ribosomal RNA (253 nucleotides) under uncultured bacterium. Its description in RNAcentral is "partial 16S ribosomal RNA". It matches the Rfam family "Bacterial small subunit ribosomal RNA", at positions 524 to 776 of the family's 1533-position model. The record is from RNAcentral.